UGGGGGAAUCUUCCGCAAUGGACGAAAGUCUGACGGAGCAACGCCGCGUGAGUGAAGAAGGUUUUCGGAUCGUAAAACUCUGUCUUUUGGGGCGAACGUGAGUAUGGUGAACAAUCAUAGUCAGUGACGGUACCAAAGGAGGAAGCCACGGCUAACUACGUGCCAGCAGCCGCGGUAAUACGUAGGUGGCAAGCGUUGUCCGGAAUUAUUGGGCGUAAAGAGCGCGUAGGCGGGAUAGUCAGUCUGUUGUAAAGUGCGGGGCUCAACCCCGUGAUCGCAAUGGAAACAGCUAUUCUUGAGUGCAGGAGAGGAAAGUGGAAUUCCCAGUGUAGCGGUGAAAUGCGUAGAUAUUGGGAGGAACACCAGUGGCGAAGGCGACUUUCUGGACUGUGUCUGACGCUGAGGCGCGAAAGCCAGGGGAGCGAACGGGAUUAGAUACCCCGGUAGUCCUGGGCCGUAAAACGAAUGGGUCUAGGUGUGGGAGGUAUCGACCCCCUUGCCGUGGCCGGGAGUUAACGCAAUAAGUACCCCCGCUGGGGAGUACGGUCGCAAGACUGAAACUCAAAUGAAUUGACGGGGUCAUAGCUGUUUCCUG
RNAcentral lists this ribosomal RNA (595 nucleotides) under uncultured bacterium. RNAcentral describes it as "partial 16S ribosomal RNA". It matches the Rfam family "Bacterial small subunit ribosomal RNA", at positions 354 to 1376 of the family's 1533-position model. The record is from RNAcentral.